Molecule: regulatory RNA element, 152 nt
Organism: Pontibacillus chungwhensis BH030062
Lineage: Bacteria; Bacillati; Bacillota; Bacilli; Caryophanales; Bacillaceae
Rfam family: Ribosomal protein L10 leader
About the family: This family is a putative r-protein leader autoregulatory structure found in B. subtilis and other low-GC Gram-positive bacteria. It is located in the 5' untranslated regions of mRNAs encoding ribosomal proteins L10 and L12 (rplJ-rplL).
Source: Rfam
AAAUAUGAAUACGUUAUACCGUAGACAGUAGGUGCGCUUGUCGCUUAAUUUCCUACCGAGGUGUGUUGAUAUACGUGAUAGUUGUUCGCCGAUAGCUAUCAUCAACUCAUGUGCCUUCUUGUCUACCUUGAAGGCACAUUUUUUAUGACUUA